CAAAGAUCAUCUUUUUUUCAUCUUUGUCCUUGACUGCCAUGGUUUUGUGUGUCAAUAAUCCUUGAUACAGGAUGAGACUUUUCUACAUGUCAGUGCUCUUUAUCAUUUUGUUCUUUUUUGCCUAGACCAUCCUGAAGAUUUUUCUGUGUGCUGAAGUUUCACCCAAAGGGGACAAGUGGGCCACACUAGCCACGUACCGCAACAUCCCAUUUGGUGAAGUUUGGACACCGCAAAACCCUUUGGAACCCUGAUCCUCUCCUGACUGUAAAAUGGGGUCAGUGAUAAAGCUACUACAGAAAAAGAAAAUGAAAAAGAGCAGAGUAAGCCAACAACAGAUUGCAGGCAUACACACAAGAUUUCUCCAUGGUCAGGAGGAAUUAUGAUUUCCUUUUAUGAUCUUUUGGCCAGAAGAAAGAACAUGCUUUGAUAGUUGAAGAAGUCCACAAACUCUAUUAAAACUAAUGCAAUAGUCAGAGAAUAAAAAAUGGCUGCAAUUCA
Molecule: long non-coding RNA, 498 nt
Filed under: Zonotrichia albicollis (white-throated sparrow)
Lineage: Eukaryota; Metazoa; Chordata; Aves; Passeriformes; Passerellidae
Description: lncRNA (ENSZALG00000003376.1)
Source: RNAcentral